CAUGCAAGUCGAACGGAAAGGCCCUUCGGGGUACACGAGUGGCGAACGGGUGAGUAACACGUGGGUGAUCUGCCCUGCACUUUGGGAUAAGCCUGGGAAACUGGGUCUAAUACCGAAUACACCCUGCUGGUCGCAUGGCCUGGUGGGGGAAAGCUUUUGCGGUGUGGGAUGGGCCCGCGGCCUAUCAGCUUGUUGGUGGGGUGAUGGCCUACCAAGGCGACGACGGGUAGCCGGCCUGAGAGGGUGUCCGGCCACACUGGGACUGAGAUACGGCCCAGACUCCUACGGGAGGCAGCAGUGGGGAAUAUUGCACAAUGGGCGCAAGCCUGAUGCAGCGACGCCGCGUGAGGGAUGACGGCCUUCGGGUUGUAAACCUCUUUCAGUAGGGACGAAGCGUGAGUGACGGUACCUAUAGAAGAAGCACCGGCCAACUACGUGCCAGCAGCCGCGGUAAUACGUAGGGUGCGAGCGUUGUCCGGAAUUACUGGGCGUAAAGAGCUCGUAGGUGGUUUGUCGCGUUGUUCGUGAAAACUCACA
RNAcentral lists this ribosomal RNA (537 nucleotides) under uncultured Mycobacterium sp. RNAcentral describes it as "bacterial SSU rRNA". It matches the Rfam family "Bacterial small subunit ribosomal RNA", at positions 54 to 606 of the family's 1533-position model. Lineage: Bacteria; Bacillati; Actinomycetota; Actinomycetes; Mycobacteriales; Mycobacteriaceae. The record is from RNAcentral.